RNAcentral lists this ribosomal RNA (690 nucleotides) under Bacillus cereus. RNAcentral's name for it is "bacterial SSU rRNA". It matches the Rfam family "Bacterial small subunit ribosomal RNA", at positions 90 to 762 of the family's 1533-position model. Lineage: Bacteria; Bacillati; Bacillota; Bacilli; Caryophanales; Bacillaceae. The record is from RNAcentral.
AGUUAGCGGCGGACGGGUGAGUAACACGUGGGUAACCUGCCCAUAAGACUGGGAUAACUCCGGGAAACCGGGGCUAAUACCGGAUAACAUUUUGAACUGCAUGGUUCGAAAUUGAAAGGCGGCUUCGGCUGUCACUUAUGGAUGGACCCGCGUCGCAUUAGCUAGUUGGUGAGGUAACGGCUCACCAAGGCAACGAUGCGUAGCCGACCUGAGAGGGUGAUCGGCCACACUGGGACUGAGACACGGCCCAGACUCCUACGGGAGGCAGCAGUAGGGAAUCUUCCGCAAUGGACGAAAGUCUGACGGAGCAACGCCGCGUGAGUGAUGAAGGCUUUCGGGUCGUAAAACUCUGUUGUUAGGGAAGAACAAGUGCUAGUUGAAUAAGCUGGCACCUUGACGGUACCUAACCAGAAAGCCACGGCUAACUACGUGCCAGCAGCCGCGGUAAUACGUAGGUGGCAAGCGUUAUCCGGAAUUAUUGGGCGUAAAGCGCGCGCAGGUGGUUUCUUAAGUCUGAUGUGAAAGCCCACGGCUCAACCGUGGAGGGUCAUUGGAAACUGGGAGACUUGAGUGCAGAAGAGGAAAGUGGAAUUCCCAUGUGUAGCGGUGAAAUGCGUAGAGAUAUGGAGGGAACACCAGUGGCGAAGGCGACUUUCUGGUCUGUAACCUGACACUGAGGCGCGAAAGCGU